CCCGUGUCAGGGUGGGCUGCCCUGGCCACAUGCUCCUAGUGCUCCCCGGUCUUUCUGCCCAGCACCCGUGUAACUCCUUCCUAGACUCAUGGAGGUCAUGUUCGUAUUUCUGCUACAGUGGAAGCGCCGUGGAGGCCAGGACCCGGCCUGUCUUGUUCACCCCUGCGUUCCCGGUUCUCAGCACAGGGCAAGGGUCAUGGUAUGUGCCCAGUGAACACUUCUCGCACACCAACAACCCAGGACACGGACUUUGUGCCCACUUUACAGCACAGGGCAAGGAGCCAAGGUCCAACCCGUGCUGUGCUGAGGUCACAGAGUUUGUCCAAGAUACAGGCACUGGAAUCUCACCCUCCAUUUGUUUGUUCAACAGGUUUUUAUCCGGCGCCCACUGGAUGCAGAGAUGGAGCUGAAGCCGCCCUGCGAAGGAGAGAGGCAAUAAAAGCGACAGGCUGGAACCGCCUUCUCCACCUAGACUCCGAUUCCUGCAAACACAGCGGUGAUGGAACCCUAAGGAAACGUGAAAGCGCCUGCCUUCUGCUCUCAAUAACAUCGCAGCUGAUCAAGCUCUGCCAGCUCGCGGCCCCGUGGCUCCCGGACCGAGAGAGUAGGAAAUUCAGAAUUGCCAACUCAGUUUUCCCCACCAAGCACAUUUUGUUUAAAAUUUUCAUCUAGAGUCACCAUAAUUUCUUAAAAGAAAAAACUUUUUUUUUUUUUUGAAGAUUAGCCCUGAGCUAACAUCUGCCACCAAUCCUCCUCUUUUUGCUGAGGAAGAUUGGCCCUGAGCUAACAUCUGUGCCUGUCUUCCUCCACUUUAUAUGUGGGACGCCUACGACAGCAUGGCGUGCCAAGCGGUGCCAUGUCCACACCCAGGAUCCAAACCGGUCAACCCUGGGCUGUCAAAGCAGAAUGUGCGCACUUAACCACUGCGCCACCGGGCUGGCCCCAGAAAAAACUUUUAAACACAGAAAGGAGUUAGUCUCAGAAUAGGGAAAAUAACCAGAGAGUUGUCAAUUCACGCUGAUGCUACCAAAUUUAUUUUGUAAAUAGCAUAUUUGAAAAGUUUGUUUGAAACAACCCAAAUUAUCUUCGGUGAUGAAUGGGUAAACCAAAUGUGGUCCAUCCAUACGAUGGAAUAUUAUUCAGCCAUAAAAAGGAAUGAGGGAUCGAUACAUACCACAAUGUGGGGGAAGCUCAGAAACGUGAUGCUAAGUGAAGGAGGCCAGACUCAAAAGGCCGCCUAUUGUACCGUUCUGUUUAUGUAAAAUGUCCCAAAUAGGCAAAUCCAUAGGAACAGAACGUAGACUGGUGGUUGUCAGGGGCUGGAAGGAGGGAGGAAAUGGAGAGAGACUGCUAGCGGGUACAGGCUUCUUUUGAGGGUGAUAAAAAUGUUCUGAAAUUAGAGAGUGGGGAUGGUUGCACGACAUUGUGAAUAUACUAAAAACCACUAAAUUGUAUACUUUAAAAUGACAACUUUUAUGUUUUAUGGAUUAUAGCUAAUUAAAAAAUACAGUUAAAAAACAUGAAUGUAGGAAAAAAGUUUGUGGAAGUAUGAAAAUGACGACCUUAAGUCGUCUUGACAUCCCCUUGGCGAGGGGCUGUUUGCAUCGGGAACCCUCCGUUGACUGUGUGUCACGAACUUUUCUGCUCCCGUGGAUUUUGCAACUGUUACAAAUCCGUUUUCACAGAGCCGGGUUGACCGAAACGGAAGCAAAGAGAGCUCACUUGUCCGCUCAAGGCAGAAUAUUCUGAGCCGUCACUGGCCAAGGGAUGCUGGGGUGGGGUCAACCCUGGCCCUUCACAUCUGCCCUGGACCUGGACGGAGGGCAGAGUGAGGUGGGCCAGGCUGCCUGCUAUGAUGGUCGUCCAUGUCUGGACAUCUUCAGCAUGGGGGGUGGGGACCGCUCCCUUGGAGAUGCCUGGGCUGCUGUCCUGUGAAGCCCCCUCCUGUCUCCCCCUCCCUCCGUUCCCUAACCCCUGCUCUGUUCACGAUGCUGGUGGAGAGUGGAUUUUUGGUGUUCAACAUGAACUGGAAGCUCAGUGUCACACGAGGACCAAUGGGGAGCAGCAGGAUAGCACCGAGGCAGUGGGGCCCAUGGCUUGGAAACCCCUGUGGGGAUCUCCAAGGGCGGGGCCCCAGCCGCUGUCUGGGUUGGGGAAUGAAUGCAGGGUGGGCAGGAUCAGCUCUGAAGUGGGGACUGUGGGGUCCCUGCAGGUAGAAGUCCACCUCU
Equus caballus (horse) is the source of this 2228-nucleotide long non-coding RNA. NCBI's taxonomy places the organism in Eukaryota, Metazoa, Chordata, Mammalia, Perissodactyla, Equidae. The record is from Ensembl.